This 120-nucleotide ribosomal RNA is filed under the name Helianthus annuus (common sunflower). Lineage: Eukaryota; Viridiplantae; Streptophyta; Magnoliopsida; Asterales; Asteraceae. The record is from RNAcentral.
GGUUGCGAUCAUACCAGCACUAAUGCACUGGAUCCCAUCAGAACUCCGCAGUUAAGCGUGCGUGGGUGAGAGUAGUACUAGGAUGGGUGACCCCAUGGGAAGUCCUCGUGUUGCAACUCC